RNAcentral lists this ribosomal RNA (433 nucleotides) under uncultured bacterium. RNAcentral's name for it is "partial 16S ribosomal RNA". It matches the Rfam family "Bacterial small subunit ribosomal RNA", at positions 29 to 507 of the family's 1533-position model. The record is from RNAcentral.
AGCGAACGCUGGCGGCAGGCCUAACACGUGCAAGUCGAACGAACUCUUCGGAGUUAGUGGCGGACGGGUGAGUAACACGUGGGAACGUGCCUUUUGGUUCGGAAUAACUCAGGGAAACUUGUGCUAAUACCGAAUGUGCCCUUCGGGGAAAAGAUUUAUCGCCAUUAGAGCGGCCCGCGUCUGAUUAGCUAGUUGGUGAGGUAACGGCUCACCAAGGCGACGAUCAGUAGCUGGUCUGAGAGGAUGACCAGCCACACUGGGACUGAGACACGGCCCAGACUCCUACGGGAGGCAGCAGUGGGGAAUCUUGCGCAAUGGGCGAAAGCCUGACGCAGCCAUGCCGCGUGAAUGAUGAAGGUCUUAGGAUUGUAAAAUUCUUUCACCGGGGACGAUAAUGACGGUACCCGGAGAAGAAGCCCCGGCUAACUUCGUG